Non-coding RNA from Lactuca sativa (garden lettuce), 882 nucleotides. The record is from RefSeq and is a predicted model, not a curated record. Lineage: Eukaryota; Viridiplantae; Streptophyta; Magnoliopsida; Asterales; Asteraceae.
UUUUUUUUCUUAAACGCACGUUUUUAAAGGGGGAAAACGAAAUCGUCUGAAAUUCUAAAAUUUUGAAGAACCCCGCUUCUACCCUCUCUACUCAGUAUCUCCCUUCAUUCACUCCUUCCUUUUCUCUCCUUCUCUCUGUAAACCCUAAGCCAUCGCCACUGCCACCGCCAUUGAACCUUAAAAACUCAAUCCACACUUCACGCUUCUAUGACUCUCUCUUCUUCGGCUCUUUAAUAAUAGAACACGUGUUCCAUCCUAUGGGGAAAAUGAAAUCCCCAAAAAUUAAAACCCUCGCCUUUUGCUGAAAACCCUCGUCUCCUUUACAUGGCUGACAACCCCCUUCUCAUCAGAUUUCCAAGCUAUCUCUUCGUUUUGUCUGAGAUUGUUGUAAACUGCAACAUUCUUAAACUAGGGGAUUCAACUAAAUACCACAACCCAAACCUAUUCUGGUAAUUGGGAGCCAAUUAGUGCAAAAUGCAACCCUCCUACCACAUUUUCUCUCAAGAAACCUCAUGUACGUACACUUUUUCUCCCAUCUCUCGGUCUCUCCGAUCUUCUCUUUGUUUGUGAUCCUACCUACCCUGAAUGGUCAGAGCAUCCACGAAUGCUGCAAGCCCUAAAAGAUCUUAAUCACCGUCGCUCAUGUUACCUUCUACGAAUUCAACGUUGACCUCAAUCAAUAGGCUUUAGGAAUCAAGGGUAAGCUGUUUGCUAAGAAACGAUAUGCAGAAAAGGCUCAAAUGAAGAAGACAUUGGCCAUGCAUGAAGAAUCAUCAAGUAGACGCAAGGUGGAUGAUGAUGUUCUGGAAUAUGUUGUUCCUGCCUAUCUUCUUGAUCGUGAAACCACAACAUGUGCAAAGGUUUGUUUCUUUUCCUUAAAUU